UUGACAGAAGAGAGAGAGCAA
RNAcentral lists this microRNA (21 nucleotides) under Hypericum perforatum. RNAcentral describes it as "Hyp-miR156b". Lineage: Eukaryota; Viridiplantae; Streptophyta; Magnoliopsida; Malpighiales; Hypericaceae. The record is from RNAcentral.